Long non-coding RNA from Bos taurus (domestic cattle), 1958 nucleotides. Lineage: Eukaryota; Metazoa; Chordata; Mammalia; Artiodactyla; Bovidae. The record is from Ensembl.
GGGCAGGUGUUUAGGGCUCCAACAUGGAUUUUGGGGGAUGCAAAUUUUCAGGUCACUGCAGACUGUAUGAGGGAGAUUUUUCUUAUCUUCAUUUUCUUGGUGAAGUCCUGAGGUCUGGGGUUGGGGAAUGUAUAUCUGGUCCAAGACCAUAGAGCCAGUAAGUGGCUCAGCUCUCUCCCACCCCAAACCUGGGCUCCUUCCCUUCUUCAUUCUGCAGCAGAGAAGGAGGGACAGUGGCCACUGUGCUGAGUGGGGACAGCUAAGGGAGAGACACGGCUAAUAUGUUCUGAGCAGCUUCACCAUGCACCAGGUCCUCAUGGGGAUACGGGUAAUGGAUCCCAGGGCACUGGAGCCUAGUCUGUGACAUGGAAAGACUGGGGCUCAGAGGCUGAGCCGCUUGCCUGAGGACGUGAAGCUGGCGACCGAGGGAGGUGUUACAGCAUCAGCUGCCAGGCCACUGUGUGUGUUCUUGCGUUUGCUCACCCCUUUCAGAUUAGGUCGGGGUUUCCUGUGGUGGUGAUAACAUGACUGUGAGCUCCAUGGCUCAAAGCAACAGAAAUGUAUUCUCUCACAGUGCAGGAGACCAGAAUCUGAUUCUAGAUGUCAGCAGGGGGACUGCCCCAGAGGUCCAGUAGUUAACACUCUGCUUCCACUGCUGGGGGCAUGGGUUCGAUCCCUGGGGAACUAAGAUCCCACAUGCCUUGCUGGGCCCCUCCCCUAAAAAAAGUUCAAGAUAAAGAUGUCAGUGGGGUUGGCUCCUUCUGUAGCUGGGGGAGAGUCUGCUUCUGCUUCUCUCUAGUUUCUGGUGGUUGCCAGCAAUCCUGUUACCUCCACCUGCAGACCCUUCCAUCCAGUCUCCACCUCCGCUGUCUGUUGGCUUCUCCCUUUCUCCGUGUCAGAACCUCCCUCUCCCUCCCUCUCCGAUCUCUUAUAAAGACAGCAGCCUAAUUCAGUUCAACCUUGAUUAACUGAUUACAUCUGCAAAGACCCCCCCUUCCAAAUAAGGUCAUGGUGUGGGAUCCCCAGUGUAUACCAAUUUUGGGGGCAGAGUAUUCAACCUACUGCCCUGUCCCACAAGCUGCUUCCCGCAUCUGCCCAGAAUAUGGGAUCCCCCACCUCCUGUUUAGCCAGAGGCCCCAGAAGAGUGUUACAGAGUAGCCGGAGUCCUCAGAGUGCACACGACUGCACAGAUACACUCCUACCCCAGGCUUCCGCGUUCUCCUCCAUGGCCCCUGUUGGGGUUUCCUCUAAUACCUUUCUCACCCCCGAUCAGAGCUGGGGAGUAGGCGCCCCACCCUGCCAGCUGCUGUUGAAAAACACUUUGAGAAACAGUGAGUGGUGGUAGGAGAGGACGGAACGGGUCUCAAGGAGCUUGGCUGCGGUUUCACUUGGCGGAAUUCCCCCCUCUGUCCCAGAAGUUUAGGGUGUCUGGCAGGGGAAAGCCAGCCACCUCUCACCCCAGGCACCCCAUGGCCUCGUCAUCUUUGUAUGGCCGCAAACAAGCCCAGGGCUGACCUGGCAAUCAGUGUUGGGGAGGCUGAAUUCAGACAUCUAUUAAUCAGUCAGUCAGUCAGUUCACAGAGCUAGAGAAAGCAGGGUGUAGUGGAACAUCUUGUGGGUCCAGGAAGUUUUCUUUGAUUGGAAGGCAACGUCCGCACAGACCAGAAGGAUUGAGAUCCGCGCUCUUGUCAGCAGCACUGGGAUUGGUCGAUUGUCUCUUCUGUUUGAAGAAAUAGAAGUAGAAGUGGCAGCUUUCAGGAGACUUCUUAUGAUGAGGCAGCUUAUGGGACUUCUCAGUCUCUAUAAUUGCAUGAGCCAAUCACAAUGAAUUUCUCUCUCUUUCUACCCUAUUGGUUCUAAUUUUCUGGAGAACCUGAGUAGUACUUCUUUUAAAAGCAACUGCUAUCUCUAUUUGUUUCUUUUGUUGAUUCCCUUCCUCUGUUUGACUUCCUGGAAUG